This 467-nucleotide ribosomal RNA is filed under the name uncultured bacterium. Its description in RNAcentral is "partial 16S ribosomal RNA". It matches the Rfam family "Bacterial small subunit ribosomal RNA", at positions 28 to 506 of the family's 1533-position model. The record is from RNAcentral.
GACGAACGCUGGCGGCGUGCUUAACACAUGCAAGUCGAACGGAAGGGCCCUGCUUUUGUGGGGUGCUCGAGUGGCGAACGGGGGAGUAACACGUGAGUAACCUGCCCUUGACUGAGGGAUAAAUUCAGGAAACUGGGGCUAAUACCGGAUAGGAGCUCCUGCUGCAUGGUGGGGGUAGGAAAGUUUCGGCGGUUGGGGAUGGACUCGCGGCUUAUCAGCUUGUUGGUGGGGUAGUGGCUUACCAAGGUUUUGACGGGUAGCCGGCCUGAGAGGGUGACCGGCCACAUUGGGACAGAGAUACGGCCCAGACUCCUACGGGAGGCAGCAGUGGGGAAUAUUGCACAAUGGGCGGAGGCCGGAGGCAGCAACGCCGCGUGCGGGAAGACGGCCUUCGGGUUGUAAAACGCUUUCGCCUGUGACGAGGCGUGAGUGACGGUAAUGGGUAAAGAAGCACCGGCGAACUACGU